AGUGAUUGAAACAAUUUUAAAUGUCUAUGCAAUGGCAGUUGUAGGUAGAACUUCAAAUUUUGUCUCUGAUGUGCUCAUUUCAUCUUUUUAACACAUUUAUUAUCGAAUUUUUAAAUAAAUCUCAAAUUGUCAAGUUGUUAGCAAUCUGGAUAUGGCUGCGGAGAUCUAGGGUAGGAUUCACGGCCAUUCUGUGUCGGGGUUGUCAUGUUGCUUAAUAGUUGUAGGUUAUCUCUUCUUGGCGGUGGCUGGGUGUGUGCCUCAAGGAAGUCGGAACAUGAAAGAACCAGGAGUCAGUAUAGUUGGAGUCCAGUAAACAGAUCAUAUAGUUGGAGUCGGAGCUUUAAAAGGUCAUGAAGUGCGGAUUUUGACCGCAAGACGUUGCAGCACUUGACCUCCCUCCCCAAGGUGCAAAGUCUAGAUUUGAAUUGUGCGGAAGAACAAAUUUGUUUAGAAACAUCUAAACUUUCAUCUCCAGACGCAGCGUGUAAAAACAGUUGUAGCUGAUGGAGUAAAGGAGAUAUGGUUGAGUAGUGAAGACACUGGAUCAUGUGGUUGUGAAAUUGGGGUUAAUCUUCCAAUAUUAUUGAAUGCUAUUGUUGCUGAACUUCCUUCUGAUGCAAGCACAAUGGUUCGAAUUGGGAUGACAAAUCCACCUUUCAUUCCUGAACACUAGAAAGAGAUAGCAGAAGUUUUGCGCCAUCCAUGUGUGUACUCCUUUCUUCAUGUACCAUGCCGGCUGGAAGUGAUGCCAUUUUGACUGUAUGUCCCAAUAUUGUUGAUCUUUUCUUUUUAGUGCUGAUAGUGGCUUCUCCUUACCCCUGCAACCCUAACAACGAUUCCAGCUGUGGUUUUAUAAUUUAUGUUAGGGUGGCUGCUAGAAAAUAUCAUUGUAUGGGAUCUCCUAUGUAGAUAUACAGGGUCUUGUUGUCAGGCAAUGAAUUGAGAAUACACUGUGAAUGUAUUCAGGACUGUGGUUGACACCUUGACUGAGCUAGUUCCAGAAAUGCAGAUUGCUACCGAUAUAAUAUGUAGAUUCCCAGGUUGGCCACACAAAAGCAUACAAGCAGGUUCUCAUAGUUGCUCCAGAAAGCAUGCUUGGUGCUUCAGCUAUUGUCAAGAUAACCUCUGUUGGAAGGUGGUCACUAAUUGAGACUCUCCACCAAAUAAAUCAGAAAACGAAGUCGGUGGAGAAAACACUCGAGUACAAAUGUUCUCCCUGUUCUGACCCAUGUGAGUGUUGUGAAUAUUCAAGAGAGACAGAAGCUUGUGCUUGUGGGGAUCAGAGAGCUGUGUAGGACCGACUACUUUAGAGCAAAGUAACAUUUCUCAGAAUGGCAUGCUGCCAGAAGACCGAAACAAAAGAAAUCUCAUUGGAUGGUUCCUAAGAAAGUGGGAAAAUCAGUCACAAAAAAUGGCGGUGAAUGGUACUGCCUCGGGAUCCAAAAAAGAAGCAAGACUGGGCCAAAGGAGCGGGUGAUUGGGUGUUGUGGAUAGGACACUUCUAGGAGGAUUAAUUGUCAGCUUUUUUACUGUUGUAGCCUCACUAAUACAUGUUGGAUUUAGGACCGUGUCAUCCUAGUCAACUAUAUAUUUGUAACUUGUCCUGUUUUUUUGGGGGGUCAUCUUCAUAGAAGAUUUGACACGUAUGGAAAUUCUUGUUUUGUAAAUGGCAAGAGUUCUGUUCCAAUGUUAUCGAGGGGAUAGCACAACUCUACUUUGGAUUGCCAAUUCUUUGGGAAUUGUGGAAUGCACUCCUUUCUCUUGGAAUGAUUUACAUGCUUAA
This is a long non-coding RNA of Populus euphratica (Euphrates poplar), 1783 nucleotides long. RefSeq lists it as uncharacterized. NCBI's taxonomy places the organism in Eukaryota, Viridiplantae, Streptophyta, Magnoliopsida, Malpighiales, Salicaceae. The transcript has 4 exons. The record is from RefSeq and is a predicted model, not a curated record.